AGAAAUAAGAGAAAUAAGAAAUAAGAUAAAUAAAAACAAUAAGAAAUAAGAAAUAAGACACCCGCAUAGUAGUAAACAUACACUAACAAACCAAAGACACCCACCACACCUAAACUCUCUGACUAGCUGCUCCUACCUAUGGACAAAGUCCUAGGAUUACUAACCCGGCUACACAAGAGCUCUCCUAACUACUUUCUACGACACACUCACACACCCUAGCCUUCUACCCUUAUCCGCGACCUCCACAUCUUCCUAUCUAGGAUCAUGUCCUAAGUAAGUUGUAACUGCUCCACACCUCCCUCUAGUAUUUCUUCGGCCUACCUCUACCCCUCCUAAAACCAUCCAAAGCUAGCCUCUCAUACCUAUGAACUGGGACAUCCGUGCCCCUCCUCAUCAUAUGUCCAAACCAUGUCAACCUCCCUUCCCGUAUCUUGUCUUUUACCGAAGUCACUCCCAC
Molecule: long non-coding RNA, 457 nt
Filed under: Capsicum annuum
Lineage: Eukaryota; Viridiplantae; Streptophyta; Magnoliopsida; Solanales; Solanaceae
Description: long non-coding RNA (CANN_LNC015966)
Source: RNAcentral